UACGGAGGGUGCAAACGUUGCUCGGAAUUAUUGGGCGUAAAGCGCACGUAGGCGGCUCAGCAAGUCGGGUGUGAAAGCCCUCGGCUCAACCGAGGAAGUGCAUUCGAAACUACUGGGCUUGAAUACUGGAGGGGGUCGCGGAAUUCCCGGUGUAGAGGUGAAAUUCGUAGAUAUCGGGAGGAACACCAGUGGCGAAGGCGGCGACCUGGACAGAUAUUGACGCUGAGGUGCGAAAGCGUGGGGAGCAAACAGG
RNAcentral lists this ribosomal RNA (253 nucleotides) under uncultured bacterium. RNAcentral's name for it is "partial 16S ribosomal RNA". It matches the Rfam family "Bacterial small subunit ribosomal RNA", at positions 524 to 776 of the family's 1533-position model. The record is from RNAcentral.